RNAcentral lists this ribosomal RNA (539 nucleotides) under marine sediment bacterium BB0608_AND_9.2_4G0. RNAcentral describes it as "bacterial SSU rRNA". It matches the Rfam family "Bacterial small subunit ribosomal RNA", at positions 97 to 671 of the family's 1533-position model. The record is from RNAcentral.
GGCGCACGGGUGAGUAACGCGUGGGGACCUACCUCUUAGUGGGGGAUAACGGUUGGAAACGACCGCUAAUACCGCAUACGCCCUUCGGGGGAAAGAUUUAUCGCUAAGAGAUGGACCCGCGUUGGAUUAGAUAGUUGGUGAGGUAACGGCUCACCAAGUCAGCGAUCCAUAGCUGGUUUGAGAGGAUGAUCAGCCACACUGGGACUGAGACACGGCCCAGACUCCUACGGGAGGCAGCAGUGGGGAAUAUUGGACAAUGGGGGCAACCCUGAUCCAGCCAUGCCGCGUGAGUGAAGAAGGCCUUCGGGUUGUAAAGCUCUUUCAGAUGCGAAGAUGAUGACGGUAACAUCAGAAGAAGCCCCGGCUAAUUUCGUGCCAGCAGCCGCGGUAAUACGAAAGGGGCUAGCGUUGUUCGGAUUUACUGGGCGUAAAGGGCACGCAGGCGGUCUUGCCAGUCAGGGGUGAAAGCCCGGGGCUCAACCCCGGAACUGCCUCUGAUACUGCAAGACUAGAGACUAGGAGAGGGUGGUGGAAUUCCC